Molecule: ribosomal RNA, 274 nt
Filed under: uncultured bacterium
Lineage: Bacteria
Description: partial 16S ribosomal RNA
Rfam family: Bacterial small subunit ribosomal RNA
Source: RNAcentral
AUACGGAGGGUGCGAGCGUUAAUCGGAAUUACUGGGCGUAAAGCGUACGUAGGCGGUUUGCUAAGUCAGAUGUGAAAGCCCCGGGCUUAACCUGGGAACUGCAUUUGAUACUGGCAGACUAGAGUAUGAUAGAGGGGGGUAGAAUUCCUGGUGUAGCGGUGAAAUGCGUAGAUAUCAGGAGGAAUACCAGUGGCGAAGGCGGCCCCCUGGAUCAAUACUGACGCUGAGGUACGAAAGCGUGGGGAGCAAACAGGAUUAGAAACCCUAGUAGUCC